CCCCACCAAUCAGAGGUAAUGAAUCUGUCUGUAAAGCAGGAAACACAGGUUCGAUCCCUGGGUCGGGA
RNAcentral lists this transfer RNA (68 nucleotides) under Bos taurus (domestic cattle). It matches the Rfam family "tRNA". Rfam says of the family: Transfer RNA (tRNA) molecules are approximately 80 nucleotides in length. Their secondary structure includes four short double-helical elements and three loops (D, anti-codon, and T loops). Lineage: Eukaryota; Metazoa; Chordata; Mammalia; Artiodactyla; Bovidae. The record is from Rfam by way of RNAcentral.